This is a long non-coding RNA of Phalaenopsis equestris, 657 nucleotides long. RefSeq lists it as uncharacterized. Lineage: Eukaryota; Viridiplantae; Streptophyta; Magnoliopsida; Asparagales; Orchidaceae. The transcript is spliced from 2 exons. The record is from RefSeq and is a predicted model, not a curated record.
GUUGGCAAGCAUUGACUUGUUUCCGGAUGUUGGAGGGGGAGCUUUGAGAGAAGAAGCGAGCGUGCAAUUGUACAAAGAGAAGCAGAGGGCCAGCAUCUUCUUUAGAAAGAUCGGCAACCAAGUUCGCAAGGGUUAUGGCGACCAACGACAUAGAAUGAAGGCAAGUAUAAUGAUAGAUGAUAAACAGCAAUCUCGUUGAAAUUGGGUAAGAAAUGAAGCAUAUUGAAGGGGAAUGGAAACCAUUGAUGAUAAAAAGAGAAGAAGCUUGCUGUAUUUUCAUAUCAUCCAAAAGCGUAUUUUCAUAUCAUCUUAAAGUGGAAUUGUAGCAAAUAGAUCCUAUCUCCUUUUUACAAAAUAACACUUCCUACCAUGAUGCACCAAGUGGCAGCAUCCUGAACAGAUAAUUGCAACCCUCUCAAUCUUAUUAGGGCAGUUUUAUAUGUGCUAAUACUUUGCAGGUCCAGCAUAUAUGUGAUAAUUCCUAUGUUUUUCAGCAAUUUGAAAGGUUCUUAAUACAUAGGAUUACAGGCAAUUUUUUUGUAACACAAGGUUAAUGGUGCCAUGAUAUUGGGGCGUUACAGACAAUUUUUUGUAUAUUCAGCUGGGUUGGAUAACCCCUUGCAGCUUUUAGAUCGGUUGGUAGAGUCCAAUCUAGUA